This 471-nucleotide ribosomal RNA is filed under the name Streptococcus mutans. Its description in RNAcentral is "bacterial SSU rRNA". It matches the Rfam family "Bacterial small subunit ribosomal RNA", at positions 28 to 473 of the family's 1533-position model. Lineage: Bacteria; Bacillati; Bacillota; Bacilli; Lactobacillales; Streptococcaceae. The record is from RNAcentral.
GACGAACGCUGGCGGCGUGCCUAAUACAUGCAAGUGGGACGCAAGGGAACACACUGUGCUUGCACACCGUGUUUUCUUGAGUCGCGAACGGGUGAGUAACGCGUAGGUAACCUGCCUAUUAGCGGGGGAUAACUAUUGGAGACGAUAGCUAAUACCGCAUAAUAUUAAUUAUUGCAUGAUAAUUGAUUGAAAGAUGCAAGCGCAUCACUAGUAGAUGGACCUGCGUUGUAUUAGCUAGUUGGUAAGGUAAGAGCUUACCAAGGCGACGAUACAUAGCCGACCUGAGAGGGUGAUCGGCCACACUGGGACUGAGACACGGCCCAGACUCCUACGGGAGGCAGCAGUAGGGAAUCUUCGGCAAUGGACGAAAGUCUGACCGAGCAACGCCGCGUGAGUGAAGAAGGUUUUCGGAUCGUAAAGCUCUGUUGUAAGUCAAGAACGUGUGUGAGAGUGGAAAGUUCACACAGUGAC